ACGGGAGGCAGCAGUGGGGAAUAUUGGGCAAUGGGCGAAAGCCUGACCCAGCAACGCCGCGUGAGGGAAGAAGGUUUUCGGAUUGUAAACCUCUGUCCUUGGUGACGAAAAGAUGACGGUAGCCAAGGAGGAAGCCCCGGCUAACUACGUGCCAGCAGCCGCGGUAAUACGUAGGGAGCGAGCGUUAUCCGGAAUUACUGGGUGUAAAGGGAGUGUAGGCGGGACUGUAAGUCAGAUGUGAAAUAUGCCGGCUCAACUGGCAGACUGCAUUUGAAACUGCGGUUCUUGAGUGAAGUAGAGGUAAGCGGAAUUCCUAGUGUAGCGGUGAAAUGCGUAGAUAUUAGGAGGAACAUCAGUGGCGAAGGCGGCUUACUGGGCUUUAACUGACGCUGAGGCUCGAAAGCGUGGGGAGCAAACAGGAUUAGAUACCCUGGUA
RNAcentral lists this ribosomal RNA (436 nucleotides) under uncultured Ruminococcus sp. RNAcentral describes it as "bacterial SSU rRNA". It matches the Rfam family "Bacterial small subunit ribosomal RNA", at positions 341 to 792 of the family's 1533-position model. Lineage: Bacteria; Bacillati; Bacillota; Clostridia; Eubacteriales; Oscillospiraceae. The record is from RNAcentral.